AACGAACGCUGGCGGCAUGCCUAACACAUGCAAGUCGAACGAGACCUUCGGGUCUAGUGGCGCACGGGUGCGUAACACGUGGGAAUUUGCCUCGGGGUAUGGAAUAACUCAGGGAAACUUGAGCUAAUACCAUAUAAUGUCUUCGGACCAAAGAUUUAUCGCCCUGAGAUAAGCCCGCGUAGGAUUAGCUAGUUGGUGGGGUAAAGGCUCACCAAGGCGACGAUCCUUAGCUGGUCUGAGAGGAUGAUCAGCACACUGGGACUGAGACACGGCCCCAGACUCCUACGGGAGGCAGCAGUGGGGAAUAUUUGGACAAUGGGCGAAGCCUGAUCCAGCAAUAGCCGCGUGAGUGAUGAAGG
Molecule: ribosomal RNA, 359 nt
Filed under: uncultured bacterium
Lineage: Bacteria
Description: bacterial SSU rRNA
Rfam family: Bacterial small subunit ribosomal RNA
Source: RNAcentral